UGUGCACAGAGUGCUGUUGUUUGUACAGUCAUGGGGAUACUACCCUGUCCCAUUAAACUACCACCAAAAAUAAAAGAAUAGUAGACCUCCAACCCCACACACUGCAAAAACCAAAUAUUAGGAAAUUAAAGAACUUGUUUACUGUAACCUAAUCUGCUUGAAGAGCCCAAUCCAGUGCCCAGUGAAUCACAUGGAAAUCCUUCCAUUGACAUUGGAUCAGGCCUUAAACACAUUACAAACACAUAAAGGGAGCCCACUGAAGCUAAAAAAUCUGGGCUGUCACCACAAUUCUCUUCUCUUCCCCCUCACUCCCUAUGCUGAUUUCCCAAGGGUGCGGAUGACAGUAACAGCCAACACCUGAGAGUCUCUUUUGCCUUUGGGGGUUUGUCUGGCCUCUGGAAAGCAGAGAACAGUUUGUAUAAAUCUUUGAAAAGCACAUUCCACCAGCCAAGAAUGUUGCCCUCCUGGCCCCGGCGUUUUGCAUCUCUUGAUCCUUGUUACAGAAAUAGGACUCUUGGCUGCAGCUCUGUACAGUUCCUAAACUGUCUGUCAUCGACUAAUUUCCACACCAGCCAGCGGUGUUGCCACAAAUACAGGAUUUUGACUUGGUGUGGGGCAGCAGGAGGGAAAGGGGGAAGCUAAUGGGAGGCGAAGUCAGCAGCAGCAGCACCAAUCAUUUUUUCGUGCGAAUUUAACGGACAAUGGGAAGCAGCAGAGUUGGCUGAAGGAGAAUGUUGUUCCGAAUUUUCGAUCAAGGGCACCAGAACAAUGAAGUUCCUGAGCAAAUCCUCCAUACCGAUGCAUUGGGCAAUGUCUUCUGCUCUGCUUGUGAGAACGUGGGCAGAGAGAUCGGCUCCAGAUCGGGAUUGGAAGCUGACACCGAGCUCCUGUACCCUGCUCGCUGUGAGAGGAUUUGCAUCCAGAACUGAUGGGAAGAUACGUGGAGGCGAAUGGGAUUCCAAACCCUAGGCUGGCCCCAGCCCAGGGACGAGGCUCCAGAUUGCGUCGGGAAGGUCGGUGGGAGAGUCGGCUGGAAGAAGAGAGGUUGCACGCCUUGGGCCCACCUUUUCCUGCCCUGGCAGGGCACUCAGCUGGAAA
Molecule: long non-coding RNA, 1098 nt
Organism: Dermochelys coriacea (leatherback sea turtle)
Lineage: Eukaryota; Metazoa; Chordata; Testudines; Dermochelyidae
Exons: 3
Source: RefSeq, a predicted model, not a curated record